RNAcentral lists this ribosomal RNA (439 nucleotides) under uncultured bacterium. Its description in RNAcentral is "partial 16S ribosomal RNA". It matches the Rfam family "Bacterial small subunit ribosomal RNA", at positions 339 to 795 of the family's 1533-position model. The record is from RNAcentral.
CUACGGGUUGCUCCAGUGGGGAAUUUUGCGCAAUGGGCGAAAGCCUGACGCAGCAAUACCGCGUGAGUGAAGAAGGCCUUUGGGUCGUAAAGCUCUUUUCUGAAGGAAGAUAGUGACGGUACUUCAGGAAUAAGCACCGGCUAACUCCGUGCCAGCAGCCGCGGUAAUACGGAGGGUGCAAGCGUUGUUCGGAUUUACUGGGCGUAAAGGGCGCGUAGGCGGCAUAGCAAGUUAAGGGUGAAAUCCCGGGGCUUAACUCCGGAACUGCUCUUAAAACUGCUAAGCUAGAGAUAGUCAGAGGCGGGUGGAAUUCCUAGUGUAGAGGUGAAAUUCGUAGAUAUUAGGAGGAACACCGGUGGCGAAGGCGGCCCGCUGGGGCUUAUCUGACGCUAAGGCGCGAAAGCGUGGGGAGCAAACGGGAUUAGAUACCCCAGUAGUC